Molecule: ribosomal RNA, 253 nt
Filed under: uncultured bacterium
Lineage: Bacteria
Description: partial 16S ribosomal RNA
Rfam family: Bacterial small subunit ribosomal RNA
Source: RNAcentral
UACGAGGGAUCCUAGCGUUGUUCGGAAUCAUUGGGCGUAAAGGGUGUGUAGGCGGCCAUGUAAGUCAGUUGUGAAAGCCCCGGGCUCAACCCGGGAAGUGCUUCUGAUACUGCUUGGCUUGAAUAUUAGAUAGGUGAGUGGAAUUCCAGGUGUAGUGGUGAAAUACGUAGAUAUCUGGAGGAACACCGGCGGCGAAGGCGGCUCACUGGCUAUAUAUUGACGCUGAAACACGAAAGCGUGGGUAGCAAACAGG